ACCAAAACAUACAUCUUUCGUUCAUCUGUUUCAAGAAUAUAUCUACAAUUUUGUGAGAAAGCUUCCGCUUUUCAAAACAGUAUCAAUUGUGAUUGGCGGACAGAAAGGUGUGUUCUUGUGGCUUGUGCGGACGCGAUUAAGGAAGGCAAUAUUUAGUUUUCCACAGUUUUUACAAUUUAUUCGGUUUGUCUAGCUGAUCUGCGGCUAAUGCGGUUGUGACAUAAGAAUAAAAUAUUUUGAAUAACGUAAAUAAUCGCAAAAUCUGUAGCCUCUGGAAAAACUGGCUAAUACGUAUUUUUAGUUUAGCAAAUUUUGUUAAAAAUAAACACAAAUAAGUGACGUAAUAUUUUCCCCGUGAAAAGAGCUUUCGGCAGUGCGGGAGCGAGAGCAUAAAUGAAAGAGGAGAAAUGAGCGGAUUUUGAAAUUUGUUAUGAAAUUUGCACUUGCGGGUCGUGCAUGUAAAUAAAUACAAAUUUCUUUUGUUUACAAUUUUAUGUUUAUAAACAAAUGAAAGUCACGUGUGUAGCUACAUCAUAAACAACAAAUAAGUACACAUCCGCAUACAUAUGUAAGCAUGUGUGUGUAUGUAGUAUGAAAAGUGUUGACUUAAGCCAUCAUUGAUUAAUGAAUUACUGCUGAUUUCUUACAAUCGAGUUACUCCUUGGGUACUUCACUAUUUUGAUUAUGUCGAAAAAGUGCGGUGUUCGUUCGCUGAGCGAUAGCGCUUUGGCCGAGUUGGCCAACCAGAUUGUGUCGACGAUCGGCUAUGCCAAGUACGCCCCCGAUGUUGUACUGGACAUUGACAUCGUGAUGGUCGACAUCAACCAAUACCUCGAGCAGACGGGCGCCACCUGGAAUAUUUACCAAGACCUGUUGCGCGUCAUACUCAGCUCCGAUUAUCUGGACGCCAAUAUGCGUUUCACCUGCUUGCAAAUGCUGCUCAACGGCAGCGUAUCGUUCUUAGUAACCGAAGUCUUUCCCUUUUCCUACUAUGAAAAGAUUCUGCAAGUGAUUGCCGCACAGGGUACCGGCCUGCGCGUGCUCAAUUUGAAGGGGGUGUGGGUCAAGGAGGAGCACAUGCAUUACCUUUUCGAAAUCGUGCGCAAAUGCACGCAUCUAACCAAGUUGUUUGUGCCCUACAUCGCUAAUGAUGAUCUCUUGGAGGUGAUUGCCAAGCACUGCCGGCAGUUGCAGGUGUUGGACAUCUCUGGCGAGACGGAUAUCACUGAAAUCGGCGUUGAGUUUCUUAGUCACGGCAUGUGCAGCGAGAAACUAACGGUUGUGGAUAUCGGCAUGCCUGGUGAGGAGAACAUUUGUUACUCGGAUAUUUCACUUAUAUUGGAGCACUGUCCCAAUGUGGAGACGCUCUCCACUUACUCGUUUGUUGGCGCUUCGCUGAAGUUUGUGCAUGACAACAUUGACGAGGAUUUCCGGUGCAAGCUGCGCUACUUACACGACACUGGCACAGAUGAGGAGACGCUGCGUGUGAUUGUUAAGACAUGCCCACACUUGGAAUCGCUUUAUCUGGACACGCCCAAGCCGGGUGCACUACCAGUACUUGGCAAUAUAUUUUUGCGAAAGUUAAAAAUCUAUAAAUUUUCCUGCGUUGAAGUGAUGGAGGUGCUCGAUAAAAUCGGCCGAAAUCUCAGCCACCUGACCAUGAUUAAGGGUGUCGGGCAUUUGGAAAUAAGUAAACUAGUGCGCAUUUGUCCAAUGCUGAUUGACUUGGACUGCUAUAUGAUGGACGGGCUGUCCUACACAAAGGAUGUCAACCGGUUUGAGUGUUUGGAAGGCUUGGAAAUGCUCAGUAGCCCUAUGUCGAAUGCCUCACUGAAGAUGCUUAUAUGCAGUUGCAGACAGCUGAAGCGCUUGGCUGUGGACAGUAUUAACUUCACGGAUGAAGAUAUUGUAAACAUAUUUGUGGAGCAUGAUUUCAAUGAACUGGAGGACAUCUGGUUUACAUUGGCGCCAAAUUUGACGGUUCAAUCAAUUGAGAUUCUUAUGGAUCGCUGUCCGGAACUGCAAACCGUUGGACAACUGAGUGGAUGGUCGUUGACUCCAGAUGAUUUGGCGUUGAUACGAGGGCUACUGAAGAGCGGAAAUUCCUGUCUUGUACUUACACCCAAUGGCUUUUUCCCUUGAACCACUAAUUCGUACUAAAUUGCACGCAUAUGAACUAAUGAAAAUCUGCAGUCGCGGGAAAAUGUUGAAUAUUGCAGUAAUUUAAAAACGAUUGCAGUAAAGACUAUCGGAAUGGAAAAAGUUUCAAUCAUACGAACUUACGUGGGCACUUUGCUUGGAUGUAAUUUUGGGCGCAUAUAAAAUCUAAGCCUAUUAAAAAUGUGAUAGUAAAUUAAAUUUAAAGUCUAUGUAAUUAAAAAGUGAUAAAUGGAAAAUGUAAGCAUGGAAGCAUGGAAAAUAAAAGAAAGCAAUACUUAAAUUCCGCGAAAUUUUCAUUU
Molecule: RNA transcript, 2459 nt
Organism: Anastrepha ludens (Mexican fruit fly)
Lineage: Eukaryota; Metazoa; Arthropoda; Insecta; Diptera; Tephritidae
Exons: 4
Source: RefSeq, a predicted model, not a curated record